This 856-nucleotide ribosomal RNA is filed under the name uncultured bacterium. Its description in RNAcentral is "SSU rRNA". It matches the Rfam family "Bacterial small subunit ribosomal RNA", at positions 524 to 1381 of the family's 1533-position model. The record is from RNAcentral.
UACGAAGGGACCUAGCGUAGUUCGGAAUUACUGGGCUUAAAGAGUUCGUAGGUGGUUGAAAAAGUUGGUGGUGAAAUCCCAGAGCUUAACUCUGGAACUGCCAUCAAAACUUUUCAGCUAGAGUAUGAUAGAGGAAAGCAGAAUUUCUAGUGUAGAGGUGAAAUUCGUAGAUAUUAGAAAGAAUACCAAUUGCGAAGGCAGCUUUCUGGAUCAUUACUGACACUGAGGAACGAAAGCAUGGGUAGCGAAGAGGAUUAGAUACCCUCGUAGUCCAUGCCGUAAACGAUGUGUGUUAGACGUUGGAAAUUUAUUUUCAGUGUCGCAGCGAAAGCGAUAAACACACCGCCUGGGGAGUACGACCGCAAGGUUAAAACUCAAAUGAAUUGACGGGGACCCGCACAAGUAGUGGAGCAUGUGGUUUAAUUCGAAGAUACGCGCAGAACCUUACCAACACUUGACAUGUUCGUCGCGACUCUAAGAGAUUAGAGUUUUCGGUUCGGCCGGACGAAACACAGGUGCUGCAUGGCUGUCGUCAGCUCGUGUCGUGAGAUGUUGGAUUAAGUCCCGCAACGAGCGCAACCCUCACUUUUAGUUGCCAUCAUUAAGUUGGGCACUCUGAAAGAACUGCCAGUGAUAAGCUGGAGGAAGGUGGGGAUGACGUCAAGUCCUCAUGGCCCUUACGUGUUGGGCUACACACGUGCUACAAUGGUAUCUACAACAGGAAGCAAGACUGCGAAGUUAAGCAAAUCCCUAAAAGAUACCUCAGUUCGGAUUGCACUCUGCAACUCGAGUGCAUGAAGCUGGAAUUACUAGUAAUCGUGGAUCAGCGUGCCACGGUGAAUGCGUUCCCGGGUCU